AGAGAGAAUGCUGGCAUAAGUAAGCGAGAAGGCAGGUGAGAAUCCUGCCCGCCGGAAGCCUAAGGAUUCCUGGGGAAGGCUCGUCCGCCCAGGGUAAGCCGGGACCUAACCCGAGGCCAAAAGGCGUAGGGGAUGGACAACUGGUUGAGAGUCCAGUGCCACCAUCAAACCGUUCGAGCGAUGGGGUGACGCAGGAGGAUAAGUGAAGCGUGCGAUUGGAAGAGCACGUCCAAGCACUAAGGGGGCAGAGUAGGCAAAUCCGCUCUGUGUAAACCCUGAGGUGUGAAGGGGAGGGAAGCGUAGUACCGAAGUCACCGAUUCCAAACUGCCAAGAAAAGCCUCUAGCGAGGUUUGAGGUGCCCGUACCGCAAACCGACACAGGUAGGCAAGGAGAGAAUCCUAAGGCGCGCGAGAGAACCCUCGUUAAGGAACUCGGCAAAAAGACCCCGUAACUUCGGGAGAAGGGGUGCUCCGUUAUCGUGAAUGAAAAUGAGCGAGAGGGAGCCGCAGUGACCAGGCCCAGGCGACUGUUUAGCAAAAACACAGGUCUCUGCCAAAUCGAAAGAUGAAGUAUAGAGGCUGACGCCUGCCCGGUGCCGGAAGGUUAAGGGGAAAGGUUAGCUGAAAGGCGAAGCUUUGAACCGAAGCCCCGGUGAACGGCGGCCGUAACUAUAACGGUCCUAAGGUAGCGAAAUUCCUUGUCUGGUAAGUUCAGACCCGCACGAAAGGCGUAACGAUCUGGGCACUGUCUCGACGAGGGGCUCGGUGAAAUUGUAGUACCGGUGAAGAUGCCGGUUACCUGCGAUAGGACAGAAAGACCCCGUGGAGCUUUACUGUAGCUUGAUAUUGGAUUUUGGUAGUUUAUGUACAGGAUAGGUGGGAGGCUGAGAGAGCAGGUCGCCAGGCUUGCUGGAGCCACUGGUGGGAUACCACUCUUAAAUUGCUGGAGUUCUAACCUAGGCCCGUGACCCGGGUCAGGGACAGUGUCAGGUGGGCAGUUUGACUGGGGCGGUCGCCUCCCAAAGAGUAACGGAGGCGCCCAAAGGUUUCCUCAGCGCGGAUGGAAAUCGCGCGAAGAGUGUAAAGGCAUAAGGGAGCUUGACUGCGAGAGAGACAUCUCGAGCAGGGACGAAAGUCGGGCUUAGUGAUCCGGCGGUACCGAGUGGAAGGGCCGUCGCUCAUCGGAUAAAAGCUACCCCGGGGAUAACAGGCUUAUCUCCCCCAAGAGUUCACAUCGACGGGGANNNNNNNNNNNGGUACGUGAGCUGGGUUCAGAACGUCGUGAGACAGUUCGGUCCCUAUCCAUCGCAGGCGCAGGAGAAUUGAGGGGAGCUGUCCCUAGUACGAGAGGACCGGGAUGGACAGACCGCUGGUGUACCAGUUGUCCCGCCAGGGGCACAGCUGGGUAGCUAUGUCUGGUACGGAUAAGCGCUGAAAGCAUCUAAGCGCGAAGCCAACCUCAAGAUGAGUUCUCCCACUCCGUAAAGGAGGUAAGAUCCCAUCAAGACCAGGUGGUAGAUAGGCCAGAAGUGUAAGUGCAGCGAUGCAUUAAGCAGACUGGUACUAAUAGAUCGAGGGCUUGACCUU
Molecule: ribosomal RNA, 1587 nt
Filed under: anaerobic digester metagenome
Description: bacterial LSU rRNA
Rfam family: Bacterial large subunit ribosomal RNA
Source: RNAcentral